This 300-nucleotide ribosomal RNA is filed under the name Triticum aestivum (bread wheat). RNAcentral's name for it is "partial small subunit ribosomal RNA". Lineage: Eukaryota; Viridiplantae; Streptophyta; Magnoliopsida; Poales; Poaceae. The record is from RNAcentral.
AUGAGACAGCAACACAAGCUUCCACACACACCAAGGAAGAACUAUAAGAAGGCAGCAAAGAGAGGAGCAUCUCCAAUGGCUAUCAGCAAGAAGAGGAAGCUUAACACUUCUACAAGUCCAGAAGAAGAACCUUGCUCAGUUACUGGCAGCAAUGUAGAUGCAAGAGUUGCUGCAUGUGAAGAGCAAGUUCUCCCUCCAGUUGUUCCCCAAAUCCCUGUGAAACUGACUAGGAGCAGGGCUAGGGAGAUGACAAUCCCAGCUAGCAACACAAGGAGCAAGAAGGCAAAAUAUGGAAAAUGA